Molecule: non-coding RNA, 1109 nt
Organism: Monodelphis domestica (gray short-tailed opossum)
Lineage: Eukaryota; Metazoa; Chordata; Mammalia; Didelphimorphia; Didelphidae
Source: RefSeq, a predicted model, not a curated record
UUCCAGGGGGGAGACUGGACUGGGAGGGGGAGGGGAGCCCAAGAGUUCGCUACAGGGAAACAAACCUCCAGAGUAAACAGAAGGCCUGGGGAGGGUCAGGAGGGAAGGGCGGGAACAGUUUAUUUUGAAGUAUACCUUGGUUACAGAGUUCCAGCAGAGACCUUCACACCGCCACAAUUUCCCACCAUCCAAUCAGAGAAGAGCAAGGCAAACGUACACCAAAUUAGGAAAGUAAACACUGUGGAGAGGAAGAAGAGGAGGAGGAACGGACCCCGAGGGAACGAGAAAAUCAAGGCCGAGUCGGCCGGGCCAGGAGACGGAAGGAAACAAAGGCACUGCCAGGCCCGGCAACUGGGCUGCUAGGGGCCUGGUCCUCUCGGUCCUCCCCGGGGUGGGAGGAGAGGCUGUGUGGAGUUUUGAUGCCUGUGGCUCCUUAGGGGUCACGGUUGCCCUUUAAGGGCAGGAAAGCUCGGAUGACUUGCAUCUGUAAUUCUCUCCUCCCCUGAAGGCCUGGGUAGGGUGCUCUGGGUUGGGGGGUGGGGGGAAUCCGAAGGAGACGUGGGAGGAGCGGGAAGGGCCAGAGAGGGAGGCGGGGAGGGAAUGUUGGUAAACAUGGCGACCCCACCCCGACAACAGACACGCUGUAUGAAUCGUGAUUUGCAGCCAAACCUCAAGAGGCAGUGGAAGUUUCUAACAGUCGAUUAAAUUCUGCUGUGCUAAGACAAACGGAUGUAAACUGAAAUCUUUCCUAUAAUGCUGCAUCAAGGCCUGAAGUGAAAAGGCUAGUUUGGGUUUCCCACUCACCAAACCGGUUCAACACGGUGGGAAGUUUUAGGCAAAAAGAACUGAAUGGAAACUAGAUUCAUCUAGUAGGUUAAAUAUCGACCUGACCAAGUCAACCCCUCUCCAGUUUAUAAUCCUAGACUACUGAAAGUGUGUUUAAUUCUGCUUAAGAGAACUUAAAAAAUGCUCCUUUAAAAAGCACCAACAUCAUAAACAGUUUUCUACGAACAUCAUGACUAUCUGAAAUAGCACUGAAAUAUACUUUUGUAAAUUCCAAAGCAAAUCGAUUUAAACAAAAACAUCACCAGUAAAUGCCUAUAAACAAA